UCCGGCCGCGGCACCGGGGGGCCGGUCCGGGGCGGGUCUGUUGGAGGCGGGUAGAGGCGUGGGCGCUGCCCCGGUGAGGGGCCGAGGCUGCUUGGCCGGCAGGAGCGGGCUCUAGCGCGUCUCCGCUCGGCUCCUCUCCGGCUCCCGCAUGCUGGUGCCCGGGCUGGGGCUGUGGCUGCUGGCCCUGGCCUUGGCCUUGGGGUCGGCAGGGGUGUGGGCGCAGCUCAGGCUGGAAGAGACCGGCGGAGGGCUGCGAGCGCCCGGGGACUCCGUGCUCCUCUCCUGUCGGGCAAUUGGCUUCACCUUCGAGGAUUACGAAAUUCAGUGGUACCGUCGGGCGCCCGGAGGCAGAAUCGAGUGGGUGUCCAUCAUCAGCUUUGAUUCUUCAGUCACUAAAUUUGCGCAGUCCAUGGAGAGUCGAGCUAACGUCUCCCGGGACAGUUCAGAGCUUGAAUCAUCUCUGUCCCUGCAUGCCCUGCAGCCUCAGGACUCUGCUCGCUACUUCUGUGCCGUUUACACGGAGACAAUAAAUCAAGCUGAGCUUUAACAGAAAGCUACUGGGGCCCCUCCAGGGUGCACAAGCUGAGUGGAGUAGUGUUCUGUGGCAUCACAGGCCUGCUCCAGGGAGAGAGGUGCAGGGGAGAGCCAUCUGUGCACAUCAUGGUGGCCGUGGCUUUCCAGCAAGAGCUCCUUUUCCAGCACUGCCAUUUCCCAUCUCCUGAGUCCCAGAUGCAGUGAAUUCUGUGGAGGGUUUCAGAAUAUUCCUUGUCACCCAGCCAGUCUCUGUGCCUUUCCUUCUUCCCUUGGCCCCCUUCUUCUCUGGGGUACUCAAAGCUCUUGGACUUCGGCAACUUCGUUGUCUGGCAACGAUUGCCCCCUUCAAUUGACCCUUUUGUGGGCCUUGUGUCAGUGAGAGCAAAGCACUAACUGAAUACCCUUGCUUUGUUUUU
Molecule: non-coding RNA, 950 nt
Organism: Pezoporus flaviventris
Lineage: Eukaryota; Metazoa; Chordata; Aves; Psittaciformes; Psittacidae
Source: the annotation of a RefSeq genome assembly